RNAcentral lists this transfer RNA (86 nucleotides) under Candidatus Paraimprobicoccus trichonymphae. RNAcentral's name for it is "tRNA-Leu". It matches the Rfam family "tRNA". From Rfam's summary of the family: Transfer RNA (tRNA) molecules are approximately 80 nucleotides in length. The record is from RNAcentral. Lineage: Bacteria; Bacillati; Bacillota; Clostridia.
GCGGAUAUGGCGAAAUUUGGUAUACGCGCUAGGUUUAGGUCCUAGUAGAGAGUUCUGUGCAGGUUCAAGUCCUGUUAUCCGCACCA